RNAcentral lists this transfer RNA (182 nucleotides) under Thermococcus sp. 31-1. RNAcentral describes it as "16S-23S ribosomal RNA intergenic spacer". The stretch from base 45 to 118 matches the Rfam family "tRNA". The record is from RNAcentral. Lineage: Archaea; Methanobacteriati; Methanobacteriota; Thermococci; Thermococcales; Thermococcaceae.
AAAUCCGUCCGGGGGGUCUAAGGGAUGUCGGGCCUGCCAUCCGUGGGCCGGUAGCUCAGCCUGGGAGAGCGUCGGCUUUGCAAGCCGAAGGCCCCGGGUUCGAAUCCCGGCCGGUCCACCACGAAGAGGUGCACAUCCCAAGCUCUGCUUGGGGUGGAAGGGUCCGAGACCCCGAACAGGGG